This 253-nucleotide ribosomal RNA is filed under the name uncultured bacterium. RNAcentral's name for it is "partial 16S ribosomal RNA". It matches the Rfam family "Bacterial small subunit ribosomal RNA", at positions 524 to 776 of the family's 1533-position model. The record is from RNAcentral.
UACGUAGGGGGCAAGUGUUGUCCGGAUUUAUUGGGCGUAAAGAGCGUGUAGGCGGCCAGGUAGGUCAGCUGUGAAAACUCGAGGCUCAACCUCGAGACGUCGGUUGAAACCACCUGGCUAGAGUCCGGAAGAGGAGAGUGGAAUUCCUGGUGUAGCGGUGAAAUGCGCAGAUAUCAGGAAGAACACCCGUGGCGAAGGCGGCUCUCUGGGACGGUACUGACGCUGAGACGCGAAAGCGUGGGGAGCGAACAGG